AGCGGGGAACCCGGCGCACGUGGCCGAUUACCGGCUGGAGCCGGCGCGUGCAAGAGCUGCGGGCGUGGAGUGGGCGGUGGAACCCGGCCGAGCGCGGCCUGCCGCCUAGACUGGGAUGGAUUCUUUGCUCAGCAAGUCCUUUAAACAGGAUUUUACCAAGUCAUCCUUGAAACCUUCCCUUUUUACUUCCCCAUUUUCACCGCUUCUAACAUUGUACAGAGCACAAGUUCCCAGAGUAAAACAACCCCAAUCCAGGCUAUCCCAUUCUGCAAAUCCAGGAGACCAGGACCUCUGGCAUCACUCUUAAAAUGAAAACUAAAGAAUUGACAGUAGGAAGGAAGAAAACAAAGAAAACAAGAUGCUGCAAGUUUAUGUCUAUAGGUCCACCUUGGGCUAAGAAGUGGCCUUGGGCAGGAAGAGGUACCAAGUUUAUAGCAUGGAAUCUGAAAGGUGAGGUGAAAGAAGAAAGUCUGAAACUGGGAGACAGGACGAGGCCACUGCUCCAGAACCAAGUCCAUGAGAGCUGAGUAGCCAUGGAAUGCCCCUCAUAUGUGGUACUUGGCUUGGCUGAAGCUCAAAGAGAUGGAUGUGUUCCACUUUUAUUUCUUUUGACCCCAUUAUCAGAAGUCAGCCUUUAUUUCAAUUAAUAUAAUAAGGCCAUA
Molecule: long non-coding RNA, 662 nt
Organism: Eubalaena glacialis (North Atlantic right whale)
Lineage: Eukaryota; Metazoa; Chordata; Mammalia; Artiodactyla; Balaenidae
Exons: 4
Source: RefSeq, a predicted model, not a curated record